RNAcentral lists this ribosomal RNA (1413 nucleotides) under Escherichia coli. RNAcentral's name for it is "partial 23S ribosomal RNA". It matches the Rfam family "Bacterial large subunit ribosomal RNA", at positions 1536 to 2925 of the family's 2925-position model. The record is from RNAcentral. Lineage: Bacteria; Pseudomonadati; Pseudomonadota; Gammaproteobacteria; Enterobacterales; Enterobacteriaceae.
GCAAAUCCGGAAAAUCAAGGCUGAGGCGUGAUGACGAGGCACUACGGUGCUGAAGCAACAAAUGCCCUGCUUCCAGGAAAAGCCUCUAAGCAUCAGGUAACAUCAAAUCGUACCCCAAACCGACACAGGUGGUCAGGUAGAGAAUACCAAGGCGCUUGAGAGAACUCGGGUGAAGGAACUAGGCAAAAUGGUGCCGUAACUUCGGGAGAAGGCACGCUGAUAUGUAGGUGAAGCGACUUGCUCGUGGAGCUGAAAUCAGUCGAAGAUACCAGCUGGCUGCAACUGUUUAUUAAAAACACAGCACUGUGCAAACACGAAAGUGGACGUAUACGGUGUGACGCCUGCCCGGUGCCGGAAGGUUAAUUGAUGGGGUCAGCGCAAGCGAAGCUCUUGAUCGAAGCCCCGGUAAACGGCGGCCGUAACUAUAACGGUCCUAAGGUAGCGAAAUUCCUUGUCGGGUAAGUUCCGACCUGCACGAAUGGCGUAAUGAUGGCCAGGCUGUCUCCACCCGAGACUCAGUGAAAUUGAACUCGCUGUGAAGAUGCAGUGUACCCGCGGCAAGACGGAAAGACCCCGUGAACCUUUACUAUAGCUUGACACUGAACAUUGAGCCUUGAUGUGUAGGAUAGGUGGGAGGCUUAGAAGUGUGGACGCCAGUCUGCAUGGAGCCGACCUUGAAAUACCACCCUUUAAUGUUUGAUGUUCUAACGUUGACCCGUGAUCCGGGUUGCGGACAGUGUCUGGUGGGUAGUUUGACUGGGGCGGUCUCCUCCUAAAGAGUAACGGAGGAGCACGAAGGUUGGCUAAUCCUGGUCGGACAUCAGGAGGUUAGUGCAAUGGCAUAAGCCAGCUUGACUGCGAGCGUGACGGCGCGAGCAGGUGCGAAAGCAGGUCAUAGUGAUCCGGUGGUUCUGAAUGGAAGGGCCAUCGCUCAACGGAUAAAAGGUACUCCGGGGAUAACAGGCUGAUACCGCCCAAGAGUUCAUAUCGACGGCGGUGUUUGGCACCUCGAUGUCGGCUCAUCACAUCCUGGGGCUGAAGUAGGUCCCAAGGGUAUGGCUGUUCGCCAUUUAAAGUGGUACGCGAGCUGGGUUUAGAACGUCGUGAGACAGUUCGGUCCCUAUCUGCCGUGGGCGCUGGAGAACUGAGGGGGGCUGCUCCUAGUACGAGAGGACCGGAGUGGACGCAUCACUGGUGUUCGGGUUGUCAUGCCAAUGGCACUGCCCGGUAGCUAAAUGCGGAAGAGAUAAGUGCUGAAAGCAUCUAAGCACGAAACUUGCCCCGAGAUGAGUUCUCCCUGACCCUUUAAGGGUCCUGAAGGAACGUUGAAGACGACGACGUUGAUAGGCCGGGUGUGUAAGCGCAGCGAUGCGUUGAGCUAACCGGUACUAAUGAACCGUGAGGCUUAACCUU